This 141-nucleotide ribosomal RNA is filed under the name uncultured bacterium. Its description in RNAcentral is "partial 16S rRNA". It matches the Rfam family "Bacterial small subunit ribosomal RNA", at positions 355 to 511 of the family's 1533-position model. The record is from RNAcentral.
UGGGGAAUUUUCCGCAAUGGGCGAAAGCCUUACGGAGCAAUGCCGCGUGGAGGUGGAAGGCCUACGGGUCGUCAACUUCUUUUCUCGGAGAAGAAACAAUGACGGUAUCUGAGGAAUAAGCAUCGGCUAACUCUGUGCCAG